UGGGGAAUAUUGGACAAUGGGCGAAAGCCUGAUCCAGCAAUUCCGCGUGUGUGAAGAAGGCCUUCGGGUUGUAAAGCACUUUAGUGGGGGAAGAAACAGCUUGGCCACACCAAGCCUUGACGGUACCCCAAGAAUAAGCACCGGCUAACUCUGUGCCAGCAGCCGCGGUAAUACAGAGGGUGCAAGCGUUAAUCGGAUUUACUGGGCGUAAAGGGUGCGUAGGUGGUUUUUUAAGGCGGAGGUGAAAGCCUGGGGCUCAACCUCAGAAUUGCAUUCGAUACUGGGAAACUAGAGUUCGGUAGAGGGCGGCGGAAUUUCCGGUGUAGCGGUGAAAUGCGUAGAUAUCGGAAGGAACAUCAAUGGCGAAGGCAGCCGCCUGGGCCUGGACUGACACUGAGGCACGAAAGCGUGGGUAGCAAACA
Molecule: ribosomal RNA, 422 nt
Filed under: uncultured bacterium
Lineage: Bacteria
Description: partial 16S ribosomal RNA
Rfam family: Bacterial small subunit ribosomal RNA
Source: RNAcentral